UACGUAGGGUGCAAGCGUUAUCCGGAAUUAUUGGGCGUAAAGAGCUCGUAGGCGGUUUGUCGCGUCUGCUGUGAAAACUGGAGGCUCAACCUCCAGCCUGCAGUGGGUACGGGCAGACUAGAGUGCGGUAGGGGAGAUUGGAAUUCCUGGUGUAGCGGUGAAAUGCGCAGAUAUCAGGAGGAACACCGAUGGCGAAGGGCAGGUCUCUGGGCUGUAACUGACGCUGGAGGAGCGAAAGUGUGGG
RNAcentral lists this ribosomal RNA (244 nucleotides) under uncultured bacterium. RNAcentral's name for it is "partial 16S ribosomal RNA". It matches the Rfam family "Bacterial small subunit ribosomal RNA", at positions 524 to 765 of the family's 1533-position model. The record is from RNAcentral.